ACACAUUUUGCAGAAGGUUGCUGCUAGUCACAAGGAGCAGUCAUCACCAUGAAGGAUUUCAGUGCUUUUCUAGAGAUGAGGAGAUGCAAUGCAAGAAUUAGGCUCAUAAAACCUUCUCCUGAAAGAAUCUAACCACAUGAAGACCUGUUACACCAGUUUUCCCAUAGCACUGAGUGCUUCACUCCUGAUCUCCACUCUGACCUCCUUUUAGGGGUGUUGAGGGUCAGCAGCUGCAGUGGCUCGGGAUUCAGUCUGUGCAGAGGCAGAUGACAUUGCAAAGCAAAUUUCAAGUAACCCAAGAGGAAUAAAGAUCAGAACAACCUAAAUGCCCAUUGACAAAUGAAUGCAUUAAGAAGAUGUGGCAUAUAUACACAGUGGAAUACUACUCAGGCAUAAAAAAGAAUGAAAUAAUGCCAUUUGCAGCAAGAUAGAUGCGACUAGAGAUGAUCAUACCAAGUGAGAACUCAUUUUGCCCUCAGAACAAUCAGGACCGGGGACGGUGUCACAAUCGCCCAUGCCUUGUGCAGCAGAGGAAACCGCGGUUGGAGGAGGAGCUACAAGUGCUCAGGGGACAUUGUUGGCAAGUGGUGAGGCCAGGCUUUGAAUCCAGGCUUCUGCUGUUCUCCAGGCCCCAUUUCUCUCCUGAGUGGAAGCUGUGAUUCCCACAUUUGGUCUAGAUCUUGCCCAGGCAGCGCUGGAAUAGAAGCACCGGCCUAAGCCCUUGAACUGUCCUUGUGGGUCUCGGGCUUUCUCCACUCAAAGUACUUCAGUUGAUUAGGUUUCAGUUACUGAUUGGCAAUGGUUGCCAGCCCAGCUUCUCUGAGAUUACACACAGGUCAUGCCUUGGCGGGAAUGCUGGGAGUUCAUCAGUUCUCUUGGUUACAUGUUUUCAAGCCAUCUCCCAGUUUAUCUCCAUGGAGGCAAGGCCAACCCCAGGCAUGCCAUGCUGAGUCUCACCAGUGAACUUUCAGGGAGCAGCCCCAUUUGGGGCGAGGGCUCUCCAGAGUCUUUCCUUAUAUGACCUAGAGUUUGAUGGCUGAAUACUACAUCUGAUAGCUCUGGUAUGCCACUUAAUUAUCAUAUGCAUUUUAUUGCACACAUGGAUAUACUGUUUUCAUAGAAAUUAGCUUAAUUUCUAUAAAUUGACAUUGCCUCUUUUUUUUUUUUCUUUUCCUUUCUCAUCUAUUACCUACACCACAGGUCAUGGCAGUGCCAUAUCCUUAACCUACUGAACGAGGCCAGGGAUCAAACCUGCAUCCUCACAGACACUAUGUCAGGUUCUUAACCUGCUGAGCCACAAUAGGUAUUCUGAUGUGGCCUCACAUAAUUUACUUAAUAUUAUAUAAAAAUAAAGAAAAUCGUGCUAAAAAUAAUAACUGACACAUUUUGGAGAGCCAAAUAUGUGGCAUAUCUUCCAGUUGCAUAAGUUAAUACUAACUCAGCCAGCACUUCCAAGAAAUAAGUACGCUUUUUUCUACUUUUUCUUUCUUUGUUUUUUGUAAAUGAGAAACUGAAACUCUGAGAAGCUAUAGUCAAUAAGUGAUAAAACCUGGAUUAGAUCAUCCCAUUACACAAAAACAAUAUUACACAGAGAGAAAUUAAUUUUACAGUCAAAAAAUGAGGGUGCUGCCAGCAUAAGCAGGCACAAUGGUGUGUGUUCUAAGUUUAUCGAUUACAUGUACUGUUUCAUGAUAUUGUCACUAAAUGUCUACAAGGCAGAUUUUUCAAAGGAGAUGAAACUAUUUCUCCUCCUCCUCUUUCUCCUCCUUCCUCUGAGAUGAGAACUCUAGUCUCUGAAAACAAUGCCCAGACACUGAGGGGUUUAUUUGUAGGUUCCCAGAAGUGUUUCCACGGAUCUCAGAGCAACUCCAGGUGUGGUAGAAAUGACAAAGCCAGAGAGAGAGAAUGGAAGGAGUCCAGCAUCACCAGGGGCUUGUCAGCGCUAUCCACACCUGGUAAAGGGCUCCAGUACAUUCUGAGCACAAUGGCAUUGUAUUUCGUGUCCCCGUGUGCUCUGUGUUGACUGCGGUGAGUUCUGUGCUGAAGUCACCUAUUGUUUCAACCCUAAGUCAAGGAGGCCAGUUCUGAACUGAUUCCCUCAUGGUCUCUAUAAAAUCCUGAGUCCGUGUAGCAGCUUGGUCGCAUCGAUCAAAAUAGAAAAGUGGGAGUUCCCAUUGUGGCGCAGUGGUUAGAGAAUCCAACUGGGAACCAUGAGGUUGCGGGUUCGGUCCCUGCCCUUGCUCAGUGGGUUGACGAUCCGGCGUUGCCGUGAGCUGUGGUGUGGGUUGCAGACGUGGCUCGGAUCCCGCAUUGCUGUGGCUCUGGUGUAGGCCGGUGGCUACGGCUCUGACUCGACCCCUGGUGUAGGCCAGUGGCUACGGCUCUGACUCGACCCCUAACCUGGGAACCUCCAUGUGCCGCAGGGGCGGCCCAGGAAAUAGCAAAAAAAAAAAAAGACAAAAAAAAAA
This 2468-nucleotide long non-coding RNA is filed under the name Sus scrofa (pig). Its description in RNAcentral is "lncRNA (ENSSSCG00025040641.1)". Lineage: Eukaryota; Metazoa; Chordata; Mammalia; Artiodactyla; Suidae. The record is from RNAcentral.